AGAGUUUGAUCAUGGCUCAGGAUAAACGCUGGCGGCGCACAUAGGACAUGCAAGUCGAACGGACUUAACCUUAUCUUUUAGAUUUGGAGCGGUUAGUGGCGGACUGGUGAGUAACACGUAAGCAACCUGCCUAUCAGAGGGGAAUAACAGUGAGAAAUCAUUGCUAAUACCGCAUAUGCUAACAGUAUCGCAUGAUACAGUUAGGAAAGGAGCAAUCCGCUGAUAGAUGGGCUUGCGUCUGAUUAGUUAGUUGGUGGGGUAACGGCCUACCAAGACCACGAUCAGUAGCCGAACUGAGAGGUUGAACGGCCACAUUGGGACUGAGAUACGGCCCAGACUCCUACGGGAGGCAGCAGUCGGGAAUAUUGCGCAAUGGAGGAAACUCUGACGCAGUGGACGCCGCGUAUAGGAAGAAGGUUUUCGGAUUGUAAACUAUUGUCAUUAGGGAAGAUACAAGACAGUACCUAAGGAGGAAGCCCCGGCUAACUAUGUGCCAGCAGCCGCGGUAAUACAUAGGGGGCGAGCGUUAUCCGGAUUUAUUGGGUGUAAAGGGUGCGUAGACGGAGAGACAAGUUGGUUGUGAAAUCCCUCGGCUUAACUGAGGAACUGCAACCAAAACUAUUUCCCUUGAGUGUCGGAGGGGAAAGUGGAAUUCCUAGUGUAGCGGUGAAAUGCGUAGAUAUUAGGAGGAACACCGGUGGCGAAGGCGACUUUCUGGACGAUAACUGGACGUUGAGGCACGAAAGUGUGGGGAGCAAACAGGAUUAGAUACCCUGGUAGUCCACACUGUAAACGAUGGAUACUAGGUGUAGGGUGUAUUAAGCACUCUGUGCCGCCGGCUACGCAUUAAGUAUCCCACCUUGGGAGUACGACCGCAAGGUUGAAACUCAAAAGAAUUGACGGGGGCCCGCACAAGCAGUGGAGUAUGUGGUUUAAUUCGAAGCAACGCGAAGACCCUUACCAGGGCUUGACAUAUACAGGAAAGAUCUAGAGAUAGAUCCCUUCUUCGGAACUUGUAUACAGGUGGUGCAUGGUUGUCGUCAGCUCGUGUCGUGAGAUGUUGGGUUAAGUCCCGCAACGAGCGCAACCCCUAUUGCUAGUUACUAACAGGUUAAGCUGAGGACUCUAGCGAGACUGCCGGUGAUAAAUCGGAGGAAGGUGGGGAUGACGUCAAAUCAUCAUGCCCUUUAUGUCCUGGGCUACACACGUACUACAAUGGCUGUUACAGAGGGAAGCAAUAUAGUGAUAUGGAGCAAAACCCUAAAAGCAGUCUCAGUUCGGAUUGAAGGCUGAAAUUCGCCUUCAUGAAGCCGGAAUUGCUAGUAAUGGCAGGUCAGCAUACUGCCGUGAAUACGUUCCCGGGCCUUGUACACACCGCCCGUCACACCAUGAGAGUUGGAAAUACCCGAAGCCUGUGAGCUAACAAUCGAGGCAGCAGUCGAAGGUAGAGCCAAUGAUUGGGGUGAAGUCGUAACAAGGUAGCCGUAUCGGAAGGUGCGGCUGGAUCACCUCCUU
Molecule: ribosomal RNA, 1515 nt
Filed under: uncultured rumen bacterium
Lineage: Bacteria
Description: bacterial SSU rRNA
Rfam family: Bacterial small subunit ribosomal RNA
Source: RNAcentral